Tulasnella sp. JGI-2019a is the source of this 95-nucleotide non-coding RNA. The record is from the annotation of a GenBank genome assembly. NCBI's taxonomy places the organism in Eukaryota, Fungi, Basidiomycota, Agaricomycetes, Cantharellales, Tulasnellaceae.
AGGCCCGUAGCUUAAUGGUAAAGCCAUCCCUUUGGGUCUGCGUUGUCAACCACGACAUCGUUAGUUUCAUGUACGUUCGAAUCGUGCCGGGUCUA